UACGACUCCUGACAACGGAUAUCUUGGCUCUUGCAUCGAUGAAGAACGCAGCUAAAUGUGAUACUUGGUGUGAAUUGCAGAAUCCCGUGAAUCAUCGAGUCUUUGAACGCAAGUUGCGCCCGAGACCUAUCGGUUCAAGGCACGCCUGCUUGGGUGU
This 157-nucleotide ribosomal RNA is filed under the name Ombrophytum violaceum. RNAcentral's name for it is "5.8S ribosomal RNA". It matches the Rfam family "5.8S ribosomal RNA". Rfam says of the family: 5.8S ribosomal RNA (5.8S rRNA) is a component of the large subunit of the eukaryotic ribosome. The record is from RNAcentral. Lineage: Eukaryota; Viridiplantae; Streptophyta; Magnoliopsida; Santalales; Balanophoraceae.